CACGUCGGCUGGGCGGGCCUCAGGGAGCCCAUGGGCUGGGUGGGCGGAGCCGGCGGUGGCUGCAGGUUAGGCCCCUACCAUCGCCCUGGGCGGGGUUUCCAGGGGCGAGGCCGGAGAGGCUGCGCGGAACAGGAGCUGGGCCUUUCCCGGAGCAGCCCGGCCGGGCCUGGAAAAACUCCGAGCGGGAUUCCCAGCGCAGGGACGCCCACCGGAGCUCGAUGUCUCGGGCUGGAUAAGAAGGGGACCGGACCUCGGUUCCUUCCCCGACCCUGGG
RNAcentral lists this long non-coding RNA (274 nucleotides) under Homo sapiens (human). RNAcentral's name for it is "long non-coding RNA NONHSAT175266". The record is from RNAcentral. Lineage: Eukaryota; Metazoa; Chordata; Mammalia; Primates; Hominidae.